AGUGAACGCUGGCGGUAGGCCUAACACAUGCAAGUCGAACGGCAGCACAGUAAGAGCUUGCUCUUACGGGUGGCGAGUGGCGGACGGGUGAGGAAUACAUCGGAAUCUACUUUUUCGUGGGGGAUAACGUAGGGAAACUUACGCUAAUACCGCAUACGACCUACGGGUGAAAGCAGGGGAUCUUCGGACCUUGCGCGAUUGAAUGAGCCGAUGUCGGAUUAGCUAGUUGGCGGGGUAAAGGCUCACCAAGGCGACGAUCCGUAGCUGGUCUGAGAGGAUGAUCAGCCACACUGGAACUGAGACACGGUCCAGACUCCUACGGGAGGCAGCAGUGGGGAAUAUUGGACAAUGGGCGCAAGCCUGAUCCAGCCAUACCGCGUGGGUGAAGAAGGCCUUCGGGUUGUAAAGCCCUUUUGUUGGGAAAGAAAAGCAGCAGGUUAAUACCCCGCUGCUCUGACGGUACCCAAAGAAUAAGCACCGGCUAACUUCGUG
RNAcentral lists this ribosomal RNA (492 nucleotides) under uncultured bacterium. RNAcentral describes it as "partial 16S ribosomal RNA". It matches the Rfam family "Bacterial small subunit ribosomal RNA", at positions 29 to 507 of the family's 1533-position model. The record is from RNAcentral.